Molecule: ribosomal RNA, 468 nt
Filed under: uncultured bacterium
Lineage: Bacteria
Description: partial 16S ribosomal RNA
Rfam family: Bacterial small subunit ribosomal RNA
Source: RNAcentral
GACGAACGCUGGCGGCGUGCUUAACACAUGCAAGUCGAACGGAAAGGCCCUGCUUUUGUGGGGUGCUCGAGUGGCGAACGGGUGAGUAACACGUGAGUAACCUGCCCUUGACUUUGGGAUAACUUCAGGAAACUGGGGCUAAUACCGGAUAGGAGCUCCUGCUGCAUGGUGGGGGUUGGAAAGUUUCGGCGGUUGGGUAUGGACUCGCGGCUUAUCAGCUUGUUGGUGGGGUAGUGGCUUACCAAGGCUUUGACGGGUAGCCGGCCUGAGAGGGUGACCGGCCACAUUGGGACUGGGAUACGGCCCAGACUCAUACGGGAGGCAGAAGUGGGGAAUGUUGCACAAUGGGCGGAAGCCUGGUGCAGCAACGCCGCGUGCGGGAUGACGGCCUUCGGGUUGUAAACCGCUUUCGCCUGUGACGAAGCGUGAGUGACGGUAAUGGGUAAAGAAGCACCGGCUAACUACGUG